CGUGCUUAACACAUGCAAGUCGAACGGUGAUGACCAGCUUGCUGGUCGGAUCAGUGGCGAACGGGUGAGUAACACGUGAGUAACCUGCCCCAGACUCUGGGAUAAGCCUUGGAAACGAGGUCUAAUACUGGAUAUGAGAUGCCCCUGCAUGGGGAGUGUCUGGAAAGAUUUAUCGGUCUGGGAUGGACUCGCGGCCUAUCAGCUUGUUGGUGGGGUAAUGGCCUACCAAGGCGACGACGGGUAGCCGGCCUGAGAGGGCGACCGGCCACACUGGGACUGAGACACGGCCCAGACUCCUACGGGAGGCAGCAGUGGGGAAUAUUGCACAAUGGGCGCAAGCCUGAUGCAGCGACGCCGCGUGAGGGAUGAAGGCCUUCGGGUUGUAAACCUCUUUCAGCAGGGAAGAAGCGCAAGUGACGGUACCUGCAGAAGAAGCGCCGGCUAACUACGUGCCAGCAGCCGCGGUAAUACGUAGGGCGCAAGCGUUGUCCGGAAUUAUUGGGCGUAAAGAGCUCGUAGGCGGUUUGUCGCGUCUGGUGUGAAAACUCAAGGCUCAACCUUGAGCUUGCAUCGGGUACGGGCAGACUAGAGUGCGGUAGGGGUGACUGGAAUUCCUGGUGUAGCGGUGGAAUGCGCAGAUAUCAGGAGGAACACCGAUGGCGAAGGCAGGUCACUGGGCCGCAACUGACGCUGAGGAGCGAAAGCAUGGGGAGCGAACAGGAUUAGAUACCCUGGUAGUCCAUGCCGUAAACGUUGGGCACUAGGUGUG
RNAcentral lists this ribosomal RNA (769 nucleotides) under Oerskovia jenensis. RNAcentral's name for it is "bacterial SSU rRNA". It matches the Rfam family "Bacterial small subunit ribosomal RNA", at positions 43 to 824 of the family's 1533-position model. Lineage: Bacteria; Bacillati; Actinomycetota; Actinomycetes; Micrococcales; Cellulomonadaceae. The record is from RNAcentral.